Oncorhynchus keta (chum salmon) is the source of this 4542-nucleotide long non-coding RNA. RefSeq lists it as uncharacterized. The record is from RefSeq and is a predicted model, not a curated record. The transcript is spliced from 3 exons. Lineage: Eukaryota; Metazoa; Chordata; Actinopteri; Salmoniformes; Salmonidae.
CGUCUCCCGCUACACAUCUCUGCAUAAUACAGUAUUCUGCACCCUUUGCAAAAAAAUUGAUUUUCAGAAGGAUUUUCAAGGUCCUUAUUUCCUAUUAACUUAAAGAUGUCCUCCAGUGAUUUUUAAACUUUUCCUGUUAAGGUGAUAUCCCAAGUAUAAAGACAGUAAAGUACACACAGUAAAGGGUAAACAAAUAUGUUUGGAUUAAAAUAGUGUUUUUUAGACAGAACUGCAAACUACCAGGAGGAGGGCAUUCAAGGAGUUGGUUUGAUGGAAAGUCUAUUGGCUCGAGGAACAAUAGAAGAGCAAUGGAGAACAACCCCACUUGUGCAGUUUCAGACAUACCCGGACCACCUAUUGAGUUGUGCCUUUUGUUAAAUAAAUCAGGUGUUCAAUGAGGUGAGAAUGAGACUGGAGUGCUACUUUAAGUCUUUGGAGCAUUGUUCACACAAUAGCACAUUUCAGUUUUUCAAAACUUUCCCCAACGGAAGCAUUUCUCGUCGUUGAGGUCCAAGGAGGGGAAACAAAUCCCAAAGAAUGUGAUAUGAACAUGAUGCAUCCACUGAAAGAAGUGAUACAGUGUCUGGAGGGAGAGUCAUGGAGAUGGCCUGUGUUGCGUAAUAAUUGUAGUAUGAUCUAAAAUAAAGACGCGCGACAAUGAGGUUCUAGCUCCAGUCUGUUUAUUAACCUAACCCUCGCAUGUCCUACAUAGGUACGGAUACCCCCAAGGGACAUCCUACUACAUCUUCCCCUCUCCCAGAACUCAACAUGCAUGCAAUUUGGAAACCAGUGUUAUUCUCUAACAUGCUACUUCCCAUCCUGAAACAGUAUGAAAGUAUUAAAUCACACAGUAUGAACAUUAACUUAGGUACAAUCUCUUUUUGCUGGGUAUGGUCCCCAGCAGUAUGUUUUCUCUUCACAUAUAUAGUCUUUCAGCCACACUGGUGGCUUCACAUCCCUUUUUGGGUGCGCUUGUGGCUCUGUGAGCAUUCUCUCUCCUUCACCCUCUUUUUGUGCAUUUUCUGUGGCCUCAGUCUGUGUGGCUGGUAGAUCUGGAAGAGCUCUGAGGUGUGUUUUGUUCCUUCGUACCUCUUCUGAGCCUGUGUCCAUCACAUAGGAGCGUGGGGCAUCCGCUUUCCUCAGCACCAUUGCUGGCGUCUUUGAGUUUGUAAUCCACUCCCGUUGACCUUCGGUCAACUCUGGCCUCUCUUUAGCACGGUGUCUCCGAUUAAAGUCUCCAGUUUGCGUUUGUUUCAGAUGUUUGUCCCUCUCAGCGAAGGCCUUCCUGUUAGGCCAUCAGGGUUUAAGCUGAGCCGGCGAGACAGGCAAUGGGGAACGCAGCCUCCUGCCCAUCAGGAGCUCAGCAGGUGACGGCCCAUGAUGCAGUGGUGUAACUCUGUAAGCUAACAGAACCGUGUAUGGAUCCUUGUUCUUUUUCAGCAGUCCCUUGACUGUUUUCACAGCUCUCUCUGCCUCACCAUUACUCUGUGCAUGGUAGGGGCUACUGGUCACAUGUAUGAAGUCAUAUUCUGCGGCAAAAGCAGAAAAGGAGCUCGCAGAGAACUGGGGACCGUUAUCUGUAACCAGGACCUCAGCGAAACCCUUGCCUGGAAAAAAAUAGACUUUAAUCCAUUGAUAACACCAGCUGAUGUGGUUAUGGGUGUCUUUGCUAUUUCAAUGUAUCUUGAGUAGUAAUCUACCACUAGCAGAUAAGUGUCAUUUUUCCAAUAGAACAUAUCUGCCCCUACCUUUUGCCAUGGCCGUUUUGGCAGCUCCGUUGCCAUCAUUGGCUCCGGAUGACAAGGUUGACAUUUUGUACAGACCUCACAAUGGGCCACUAGCUUGGCAAUCUGAGUACUCAGACCAAGCCACCACACUGACUGUUGAGCCCUCAGUCUGCAUUUGGUUAUCCCCAUGUGUCCAUCAUGCACUCUGUCUAGCAUUUCUGGUUGUAGAGUCUCUGGGAUAACUAUCUGUUGUCCUUUCAUGAGAAGGUCUCCAUUACAGUGGAAGUCACUUUGGUGCACCCAAUAGGGCUUCAGCAGCUAAGGUAGUUCCUCCUGCCUGGGCCAUCCCUUUUUGCACUGCUGCACUAUCUGUUGGCAGAUGUGGUCUCGUUGUUGCUCCUCUGCAAUCUGCUGCAGUUUGGUCUGAGAUGCAGGUAGACUGUCCCUUAUUGCAUUAAUGGACACCUGUACCUCACCCUCUAGACAUGGCUCCUCCUCUGAUAAUGGACGUUUAAUUGGGGCCCUGGAGAGUGCAUCUGCUGUGAUCAGUGCCUUCCCUGGCACAUACACCAUCUUGUAGGUGAACCUCAGUAAUCUGAGGCGGAAGCGCAGAACUCUGGGAGGCAAGUCGUCCAGUGCUUUUGUCCCUAACAGAGCCAACAGUGGUUUGUGGUCAGUCUCUGCUGUAAACUGCAGGCCAAUAAGCUAUUGGCUGAGCCUUUCACAUGCCCAUGUGAUAGCUAACACCUCCUCCACUUGAGCAUAUCUUUGCUCUGUGUCGGAUAAGCUUCGGGAGAUGUAUGCUAUUGGACAUCCACUCCAUGUUGUCCUGCAUCUGUGUGAGGACCGCCCCUAGCCCAAAGGAUGAUGCAUCUGUGUGAGGACCGCCCCUAGCCCAAAGGAUGAUGCAUCUGUGUGAGGACCGCCCCUAGCCCAAAGGAUGAUGCAUCUGUGUGAGGACCGCCCCUAGCCCAAAGGAUGAUGCAUCUGCUGAUACUUUUGUCUUAGCGUGGGGACGGUACUGGGCCAGCACUCUCUGUGAGGCCAGAUCUCCUUUGAUUUUGUCAAACGCCACCUGUUGCAUGUGACCCCAUGACCAGUCAUUCUCUUUGGCUAGUAAGUCUCUGAGGUUUGGUUGUAUCUGAGAACUGUGGGAGGAACUUACCCACAUAUGUGGCCAUGCCUAAGAAGUUCCUGACUUCAGCCACAUUCUGGGGUCUGGGCAUAUCUGUGAUGGCGCUGAUCUUCUCGGGGCCUUCUCUAUUCCAGCUGCACUGAUUUUGUGUCCCAAGAACAAGUCCUCUGAUUGUGCAAAAGUGCAUUUUUCAUUGAGUGUCAGGCCAGUCUCCUGGAGUCGGGUCAGAACUGCUGUGAGCUUUACAUCAUGUUCUGCUCUGUCCCUUCCGCACACAAGCACAUCGUCCGCAUGGACUAUGACGCCACUCAGCCCCUCCAACAGCUGGGACAUGCGUCUUUGGAAAUGCUCAGGACCGGAAGCGAUUCCAAAUGGCAAAACAUUAAAACAGUACCGGCCAAACGGUGUUAUAAACGUUGUGAGCUCCCUACUCUCUGAUGACAGCUGUGUCUGCCAGAAACCUGAGCGGGCAUCCAGCUUUGUGAAGGCUUGUGAGCCACCCAACUGAGCCAGUGACUGCUCCACUGAUGGUAAGAUGUGUCUCUCUCUGCAGAGUGCCUCAUUCAAUUUAGUCAUGUCCACACAGAUCCUUAUGUCCCCAUUGGCUUUUGGGACCACCACCAUCCCUGCACACCAGUCUGUGGGACUCUCUAUUUUAGACACCGCCCCAAUGUCUUCCAUCCUCCCCAACUCUUCCUUUACUCUGGCCAAUAAAGGGAUAGGCACCCGGCGGGGGGUGGUAAGGGCAUAGGGGACAGCAUCCUCUUUCAGGCGGAUUUUGUGGUCACCUUAUAUCCUUCCUAGACCAGAAAACACUUUUGCAAAUUUCUUUUUGAAAACCUCACCUGGGUCCUCCAGUUCGCUCACUCUCUCAAUGAGUUGCAAUGCUUCAAUUGCUGGCAGCCCCAGCAACGGUCUGGCUAGAGAGUCAAUGACGAAGACAGGCUGGAUGGCACUUUUGUCUUUACUCUCCAGUUUAAUCACCAAGUGCCCUACCACUAGUAAAAUGUUAUUACUGGGCCCGUACAGUUUUUUGUUUGUAGAGAGCAAAGGGCCAUCUCUGCUAUAGCUAUACAGCCUAGUUGGUAUUGCUGUUACUGCUGCCCCAGUGUCUAGUUUAAAUGACACAACCUCCCCAUUGAGUUUAAUGUCUGAAUGCCCGCCAGUAUUGUUUCCCUUUACUUCUCCCAGAAAGAUGCUGUCCUGCUGUACCUCCUCUGAAGCCUCAUGCAUUUGCUUUAAUUGACAGACAGCUGAAAAGUGUCCUCUCCUGUGACAUUUCCUGCAUUCCGUAUCAUUUGCUGGGCAGUCUUUCCCACAUUUGCGACAAAUAUUUGAACUAGCUACUGGUGCUGUCUGUGAUUGUUUUCUCCACGUCUGUCUCUGUUCUGUGUUCCCCUCCGUUUUUUUUUUUUUUUAGCUCUGUAUGAAAAUGCAUGUAUUUCCUCACUCUCUUCGUUCUGCAAGGAGCUGCUGUCGCGCUGUAUCGUCUGCUGUCUUUUUACUGUGUCUCUCUGCCUAACCUGGUUUACAGCUUUGGACAAGGUUGCUGCCAUCAUGACUCUACCUUUUGACGUGGUGAAGACACGAAGACAGAUCCAACUGGGAGAGAUAGAGACACUGGGAGAUGUUCCCUGUGAAGAAUCCAGUGGCGUGCCGUGGGCCUGGGGCCUGGGCCUU